RNAcentral lists this unclassified non-coding RNA (253 nucleotides) under uncultured Legionellaceae bacterium. RNAcentral's name for it is "contains 16S-23S intergenic spacer region". It matches the Rfam family "Bacterial small subunit ribosomal RNA", at positions 524 to 776 of the family's 1533-position model. Lineage: Bacteria; Pseudomonadati; Pseudomonadota; Gammaproteobacteria; Legionellales; Legionellaceae. The record is from RNAcentral.
UACGUAGGGUGCGAGCGUUAAUCGGAAUUACUGGGCGUAAAGGGUGCGUAGGUGGCCUAUUAAGUUAUUUGUGAAAGCCCUGGGCUUAACCUGGGAAUGUCGGAUGAUACUGAUGGGCUUGAGUACGGGAGAGGGUAGUGGAAUUUCCGGUGUAGCGGUGAAAUGCGUAGAUAUCGGAAGGAACACUGGUGGCGAAGGCGGCUACCUGGCCUGAUACUGACACUGAGGCACGAAAGCGUGGGUAGCGAACAGG